Molecule: non-coding RNA, 585 nt
Organism: Python bivittatus (Burmese python)
Lineage: Eukaryota; Metazoa; Chordata; Lepidosauria; Squamata; Pythonidae
Source: RefSeq, a predicted model, not a curated record
CUUUGCAUGCCUGCUGUUUUCCAUGCAAGGAGCGGGGUUUGCUUUCCCUGUCAUGUAGAUGACUUCGGGAUCCUCUUUGCCUGGGCCUACGUGGAGGUGCUUUGGUUGGGAAACGCCACAUUCCGGGAGAAAUCUGAGCACAUCGGCUGUUAAGUUCCAGCAGUUCACGAAUAGUUUUUACAUGGAGACAUUUUAUCGGGGAAAGAAAGGGAUGGCCAAAGGGGAAAAACGAGGGCUUGCUCCGCAGAGUCUCCGGGCUUCUCUUGUGGUUGGGGAAAGCAGUGCUUAUGGAGAGAGGAGGAAGAGAGCUCAGUAACUGAAGAAAUACAAAUCCUCAACAGUUUGAAAUUCUCCUCAGGGCCGAAGUAUAAGGCCAAGAUAAGCAGCUUAGUACCCUCCAACCCGUGUCCAUGCUAGCCCAGGCUGAUGGGAACUGAAGUCAAAAACUGGAGGCAUCUUGUUGCCAUUACUUGCAGUGUGCAGGGUGAAAAAGAGCAAGAUCCAUAUGUCAGUGGUCUAGGAUGGCCAGUGAAGGCUCCAAUAUCCCAAGCCCUGUGGUGCGUCAGAUUGACAGACAGUUUCUGA